RNAcentral lists this ribosomal RNA (465 nucleotides) under uncultured bacterium. RNAcentral describes it as "partial 16S ribosomal RNA". It matches the Rfam family "Bacterial small subunit ribosomal RNA", at positions 338 to 795 of the family's 1533-position model. The record is from RNAcentral.
CCUACGGGAGGCAGCAGUAGGGAAUCUUCCACAAUGGGCGAAAGCCUGAUGGAGCAACGCCGCGUGGGUGAAGAAGGUCUUCGGAUCGUAAAACCCUGUUGUUAGAGAAGAAAGUGCGUGAGAGUAACUGUUCACGUUUCGACGGUAUCUAACCAGAAAGCCACGGCUAACUACGUGCCAGCAGCCGCGGUAAUACGUAGGUGGCAAGCGUUAUCCGGAUUUUUUGGGCGUAAAGGGAACGCAGGCGGUCUUUUAAGUCUGAUGUGAAAGCCUUCGGCUUAACCGGAGUAGUGCAUUGGAAACUGGGAGACUUGAGUGCAGAAGAGGAGAGUGGAACGCCAUGUGUAGCGGUGAAAUGCGUAGAUAUAUGGAAGAACACCAGUGGCGAAGGCGGCUCUCUGGUCUGUAACUGACGCUGAGGUUCGAAAGCGUGGGGAGCAAACAGGAUUAGAUACCCCAGUAGUC